This 224-nucleotide long non-coding RNA is filed under the name Salvator merianae (Argentine black and white tegu). RNAcentral describes it as "lncRNA (ENSSMRG00000000161.1)". Lineage: Eukaryota; Metazoa; Chordata; Lepidosauria; Squamata; Teiidae. The record is from RNAcentral.
GGGUGUUGGUUUUCUGCAGAGGCCCAGUCAGAUUCGGCCAGGAGCAAGAUGUGGACAGGAGUUGUGGGGAUUGUCCUGGGCCUGGUAUUUCUGGCCGCCGGAUUCACUUUCUAUCUGCACAGUAAGAAAGGACUCCGCAGUUAAGCUUCUCAGCCACAGACAUGUCCCACCAUGGGAAAGGACCUGCUUCCUCCCUCUCGCAGCUGCUUCUUUCUUGCUCCGAG